This is a long non-coding RNA of Malaclemys terrapin pileata, 978 nucleotides long. RefSeq lists it as uncharacterized. The record is from RefSeq and is a predicted model, not a curated record. Lineage: Eukaryota; Metazoa; Chordata; Testudines; Emydidae. The transcript is spliced from 3 exons.
CUGGAGUCAGCAAGGAAACAGGGCAGGGAAAAUACAUCUCCCUAAGCCAUAUCUAAACUAAGCAUUUAGUCUUGCAAAAAUAGACCUUGUCGAUCAGGGGGAAGGGGAGGAAGGCAUAGAAGAGUUGGCCUGACGACUGAAGGAGGAAGGCAUCUGAGAUCGCCCCCUUCCCCACUCCUCCUCCGGAGCGGAACUGGAGGCAGCGCCAAUUCUGAUCGGUUGCAAAGAGGUCAACCUGGGGAAUUCCCCACUCUCGAAAGAGGAUUGUGACCUCUGAGUGGAACGAUCACUCGUACUGAACACAUUCCCUGCAGAUCUGACAAAAUGCAAAGAAGGUACUAAUCCGAGAUAGCUACAGCACUCGACCCAAGGUUUAAGAAUCUGAAGUGCCUUCCAAAAUCUCAGAGUGACGAGGUGUGGAGCAUGCUUUCAAAAGUAUUAGAAGAGCAACACUGCGAUGAGGAAACUACUGAACCCGAACCACCAAAAAAGAAAAAUCAACCUGUGCAAGUACUUGUAAUCAAAAAUAAAGUGAGCACUGUACACUUUGUAUUCUAUGUUGUAAUUGAAAUGAAUAUAAUUGAAAAUGUAGAAAACAUCCAAAAAUAUUUAAAUAAAUGAUAUUCUAUUAUUAACAGUGCGAUUAAUCGCAAUUCAUUUUUUAAAUCACGCUAUUAAUCGUGAUUAAUUUUUUUAAUCGCUUGACAGACCUACCCUGGAUCUUUCACCAAGGAGGCAAGCUGAGAACGUGACUUUUCCCCCUGAACAGAAGAUCACAGCCAAGCCUGGCUGUAAAAUGCUGGGAAGACUUUGGGUGUGCAUUGCUCUAUAAGACAAGAAUGUACCUAGUUAAGUAACUCUGGGUUCUAGAAUGUGUGUCAUGAUUCUAUUUUAUAUGUAAUAAUUUUUUUCCAAUACAUCUACAUGUCAUCACUUGAAUCUCUAUACCUUGUUAAAUAAACUUUUAUUUGUUUUCAC